AUUGAACGCUGGCGGCAGGCCUAACACAUGCGAGUCGAGCGGAUGAAGGGAGCUUGCUCCUGGAUUCAGCGGCGGACGGGUGAGUAAUGCCUAGGAAUCUGCCUGGUGGUGGGGGAUAACGUCCGGAAACGGGCGCUAAUACCGCAUACGUCCUGAGGGAGAAAGUGGGGGAUCUUCGGACCUCACGCUAUCAGAUGAGCCUAGGUCGGAUUAGCUAGUUGGUGGGGUAAAGGCCUACCAAGGCGACGAUCCGUAACUGGUCUGAGAGGAUGAUCAGUCACACUGGAACUGAGACACGGUCCAGACUCCUACGGGAGGCAGCAGUGGGGAAUAUUGGACAAUGGGCGAAAGCCUGAUCCAGCCAUGCCGCGUGUGUGAAGAAGGUCUUCGGAUUGUAAAGCACUUUAAGUUGGGAGGAAGGGCAGUAAGUUAAUACCUUGCUGUUUUGACGUUACCAACAGAAUAAGCCCCGGCUAACUUCGUG
Molecule: ribosomal RNA, 484 nt
Filed under: uncultured bacterium
Lineage: Bacteria
Description: partial 16S ribosomal RNA
Rfam family: Bacterial small subunit ribosomal RNA
Source: RNAcentral